This 73-nucleotide transfer RNA is filed under the name Bos taurus (domestic cattle). It matches the Rfam family "tRNA". From Rfam's summary of the family: Transfer RNA (tRNA) molecules are approximately 80 nucleotides in length. Lineage: Eukaryota; Metazoa; Chordata; Mammalia; Artiodactyla; Bovidae. RNAcentral also lists the same sequence under 3 other names. The record is from Rfam by way of RNAcentral.
UCCCUGGUGGUCCAGUGGCUAAGACUCCACACUCCCAAUGCAGGGGACCCAGGUUCGAUCCCUGGCCAGGCAA